This 785-nucleotide ribosomal RNA is filed under the name uncultured Glomus. RNAcentral describes it as "SSU rRNA". It matches the Rfam family "Eukaryotic small subunit ribosomal RNA", at positions 325 to 1111 of the family's 1831-position model. The record is from RNAcentral. Lineage: Eukaryota; Fungi; Glomeromycota; Glomeromycetes; Glomerales; Glomeraceae.
AUGGUAGGAUAGAGGCCUACCAUGGUGGUAACGGGUAACGGGGUGUUAGGGCACGACACCGGAGAGGGAGCCUGAGAAACGGCUACCACAUCCAAGGAUGGCAGCAGGCGCGCAAAUUACCCAAUCCCGACACGGGGAGGUAGUGACAAUAAAUAACAAUACGGGGUUCUUAUGGAUCUCGUAAUUGGAAUGAGUACAAUUUAAAUCUCUUAACGAGGAACAAUUGGAGGGCAAGUCUGGUGCCAGCAGCCGCGGUAAUUCCAGCUCCAAUAGCGUAUAUUAAAGUUGUUGCAGUUAAAAAGCUCGUAGUUGAAUUUCGGGGUCGGUAGGUUGGUCAUGCCACUGGUAUGUACUGGUCUCACUGAUUCCUCCUUCCUGAUGAACUGUAAUGCCAUUAAUUUGGUGUUGCAGGGAAUCUGGACUGUUACUUUGAAAAAAUUAGAGUGUUUAAAGCAGGCUAACGCCUGAAUACAUUAGCAUGGAAUAAUGAAAUAGGACGUUCGAUCCUAUUUUGUUGGUUUCUAGGAUUGACGUAAUGAUUAAUAGGGAUAGUUGGGGGCAUUAGUAUUCAAUUGUCAGAGGUGAAAUUCUUGGAUUUAUUGAAGACUAACUACUGCGAAAGCAUUUGCCAAGGAUGUUUUCAUUAAUCAAGAACGAAAGUUAGGGGAUCGAAGACGAUCAGAUACCGUCGUAGUCUUAACCAUAAACUAUGCCGACUAGGGAUCGGAUGAUGUUAAUUUUUUAAUGACUCAUUCGGCGCCUUACGGGAAACCAAAGUGUUUGGG